RNAcentral lists this ribosomal RNA (243 nucleotides) under uncultured Staphylococcus sp. RNAcentral describes it as "partial 16S ribosomal RNA". It matches the Rfam family "Bacterial small subunit ribosomal RNA", at positions 96 to 334 of the family's 1533-position model. The record is from RNAcentral. Lineage: Bacteria; Bacillati; Bacillota; Bacilli; Caryophanales; Staphylococcaceae.
CGGCGGACGGGUGAGUAACACGUGGAUAACCUACCUAUAAGACUGGGAUAACUUCGGGAAACCGGAGCUAAUACCGGAUAAUAUAUUGAACCGCAUGGUUCAAUAGUGAAAGACGGUUUUGCUGUCACUUAUAGAUGGAUCCGCGCCGCAGUAGCUAGUUGGUAAGGUAACGGCUUACCAAGGCAACAUGCGUAGCCGACCUGAGAGGGUGAUCGGCCACACUGGAACUGAGACACGGUCCAG